GAUUUCUGGCGGAUCGAACUUGGCCGGCCACGGUUUCGUGUGUUAGUGCUUUGUUUUUUCGCCAUCCUUCCAAUGGCUAUUCAUCCUUCUUCAUUGAGGUGGUGAGUGGUAUUGGAUCUUUUACUUUGAAAAAAUUAGAGUGUUUAAAGCAGGCUUUUGCUAUGAAUACAUUAGCAUGGAAUAAUAAUCUAGGACUUCGGUUCUAUUUUGUUGGUUUCUAUAACUGAAGUAAUGAUUGAUAGGGAUAGUUGGGGGUGCUAGUAUUGGCCGGCCAGAGGUGAAAUUCUUGGAUUCGGUCAAGACUAACUUAUGCGAAAGCAUU
This 322-nucleotide ribosomal RNA is filed under the name Sandonidae sp. RNAcentral describes it as "SSU rRNA". It matches the Rfam family "Eukaryotic small subunit ribosomal RNA", at positions 626 to 955 of the family's 1831-position model. The record is from RNAcentral. Lineage: Eukaryota; Cercozoa; Glissomonadida; Sandonidae.